UGGGGAAUAUUGUACAAUGGGUGAAACCCUGAUGCAGCGACGCCGCGUGAACGAAGAAGGUAUUCGUAUCGUAAAGUUCUGUCCUAUGGGAAGAUAAUGACAGUACCAUAGAAGAAAGCUCCGGCUAAAUACGUGCCAGCAGCCGCGGUAAUACGUAUGGAGCGAGCGUUGUCCGGAAUUAUUUGGCGUAAAGGGUACGCAGGCGGUUUAAUAAGUCGAAUGUUAAAGAUCGGGGCUCAACCCCGCAAAGCAUUGGAAACUGAUAAACUUGACUAGUGGAGAGGAAAGUGGAAUUCCUAGUGUAGUGGUGAAAUACGUAGAUAUUAGGAGGAAUACCAGUAGCGAAGGCGACUUUCUGGACACAAACUGACGCUGAGGUACGAUAGCGUAGGGAGCAAACAGG
Molecule: ribosomal RNA, 403 nt
Filed under: bacterium
Lineage: Bacteria
Description: partial 16S ribosomal RNA
Rfam family: Bacterial small subunit ribosomal RNA
Source: RNAcentral